Molecule: ribosomal RNA, 682 nt
Filed under: Ruegeria sp. AU439_Ted1_MB20SE
Lineage: Bacteria; Pseudomonadati; Pseudomonadota; Alphaproteobacteria; Rhodobacterales; Roseobacteraceae
Description: bacterial SSU rRNA
Rfam family: Bacterial small subunit ribosomal RNA
Source: RNAcentral
AGUCGAGCGCACCUUCGGGUGAGCGGCGGACGGGUUAGUAACGCGUGGGAACAUACCCUUUGGUACGGAAUAGCCUCUGGAAACGGAGAGUAAUACCGUAUGAGCCCUUCGGGGGAAAGAUUUAUCGCCAAAGGAUUGGCCCGCGUUAGAUUAGGUAGUUGGUGGGGUAAUGGCCUACCAAGCCUACGAUCUAUAGCUGGUUUUAGAGGAUGAUCAGCAACACUGGGACUGAGACACGGCCCAGACUCCUACGGGAGGCAGCAGUGGGGAAUCUUGGACAAUGGGGGCAACCCUGAUCCAGCCAUGCCGCGUGAGUGAUGAAGGCCUUAGGGUCGUAAAGCUCUUUCGCCUGUGAAGAUAAUGACGGUAGCAGGUAAAGAAACCCCGGCUAACUCCGUGCCAGCAGCCGCGGUAAUACGGAGGGGGUUAGCGUUGUUCGGAAUUACUGGGCGUAAAGCGCACGUAGGCGGACUGGAAAGUUGGGGGUGAAAUCCCAGGGCUCAACCCUGGAACUGCCUCCAAAACUAUCAGUCUAGAGUUCGAGAGAGGUGAGUGGAAUUCCGAGUGUAGAGGUGAAAUUCGUAGAUAUUCGGAGGAACACCAGUGGCGAAGGCGGCUCACUGGCUCGAUACUGACGCUGAGGUGCGAAAGUGUGGGGAGCAAACAGGAUUAGAUACCCUGG